RNAcentral lists this ribosomal RNA (360 nucleotides) under uncultured Streptococcus sp. Its description in RNAcentral is "bacterial SSU rRNA". It matches the Rfam family "Bacterial small subunit ribosomal RNA", at positions 1022 to 1382 of the family's 1533-position model. Lineage: Bacteria; Bacillati; Bacillota; Bacilli; Lactobacillales; Streptococcaceae. The record is from RNAcentral.
GGUACAUCGGUGACAGGUGGUGCAUGGUUGUCGUCAGCUCGUGUCGUGAGAUGUUGGGUUAAGUCCCGCAACGAGCGCAACCCCUAUUGUUAGUUGCCAUCAUUCAGUUGGGCACUCUAGCGAGACUGCCGGUAAUAGACCGGAGGAAGGUGGGGAUGACGUCAAAUCAUCAUGCCCCUUAUGACCUGGGCUACACACGUGCUACAAUGGUUGGUACAACGAGUUGCGAGUCGGUGACGGCGAGCUAAUCUCUUAAAGCCAAUCUCAGUUCGGAUUGUAGGCUGCAACUCGCCUACAUGAAGUCGGAAUCGCUAGUAAUCGCGGAUCAGCACGCCGCGGUCGAAUACGUUCCCGGGCCUU